AUACGGAGGGUGCAAGCGUUAAUCGGAAUUACUGGGCGUAAAGGGUUCGUAGGCGGUUAUUUAAGUCAGAUGUGAAAGCCCCGGGCUCAACCUGGGAAUUGCAUCUGAUACUGGGUAACUAGAGUUUAAGAGAGGAGUGUGGAAUUUCCGGUGUAGCGGUGAAAUGCAUAGAGAUCGGAAGGAACAUCAGUGGCGAAGGCGGCGCUCUGGCUUAAAACUGACGCUGAGGAACGAAAGCGUGGGUAGCAAACAGGAUUAGAAACCCUAGUAGUCC
Molecule: ribosomal RNA, 274 nt
Filed under: uncultured bacterium
Lineage: Bacteria
Description: partial 16S ribosomal RNA
Rfam family: Bacterial small subunit ribosomal RNA
Source: RNAcentral